GGAUAUAUUAAAUCUUAUCUUUAAAAUUAUAAAUAAUAAAAAUUUUAUUUUUAGUGAAAAUACUAAAAUAAUUAUUUUAGACAAAAAGACCCUAUGAAACUAAUAAUAAAAAUUUUAUUUUUAUAAAUUUUAAAUUAAUUUUUUGGGGUAAAAUUAAAUUUUUAUAUUUAAAAAAAAAAAUAAAAUUUUUUAUCCUUUAGGAAAAAAAAAGUUCCUCUAGGGAUAA
Molecule: ribosomal RNA, 226 nt
Filed under: Euchirella pulchra
Lineage: Eukaryota; Metazoa; Arthropoda; Copepoda; Calanoida; Aetideidae
Description: partial 16S rRNA
Source: RNAcentral